RNAcentral lists this long non-coding RNA (2331 nucleotides) under Homo sapiens (human). Its description in RNAcentral is "PCBP1 antisense RNA 1". The record is from RNAcentral. Lineage: Eukaryota; Metazoa; Chordata; Mammalia; Primates; Hominidae.
ACACAAAAUGGCGACACGUGGUUAGCAUUCGUCGCCAACGAGAAAUUGGGGUCGGCCCGAAAGCUCUAGAAUGCACCCCUCUUCCUCCCCGGGGCCUUCCACCUCCGCGAGUUUUAUGACUUAAAAAAGCCCACAGGCUGGUCUGAAGAGGAAGACAAACAUAAAGAUGAAGUGCUUAAUUCAAGGUCACACAAUGUCGGGGAUGGACCUCCAGAUUUCCUUACUGACCUGCAUUAUCUUGUGGAUACCUGAGUGAAUUCCACACCACCCAUUUUAUAGAUGAAACCACUGAGACAUGGAGCAAUUGACUGAGUAGUCACUGCCCCACCCCUGCCUGGAGCCUCACACAUGACUCGCCUCCUCUCAGUGACCACAGGAAAACAAGCUCAGGGCUCCCACUGAUUGUACAUUAUGAGACGGAGUCUUGCUAUGUUGCCCAGGCUGGUCUUGAACUCCUCACCUCAAGCGAUCCUCCCGUCUUGGCCUCCCAAGUGUCAGGAUUACGGGCAUGUGCUAUCACACCCAACCUGAUACAUUGCCUUUAUAAAUUUUUUUUUCUUUAUUCUAAAAACCAGAAAAAACAAAACUGGAUACAUGUGCAGAACAUGCAGACCAAGUGUGUUGGGGACUUGAGAUGCGUACAUGAGUGUGAUGUUUCCUGCUGAAAGCACAGGUGAGACGUGGUCUUGUAACACAGUGGUUAAGAAUGUGACUUUGGAGCCAGCCUGCUAGGGGCUGAAUUCUGACUCAGCCAUUUACUAACUGUGUGACCUUAGUCUCACUGUUGCUCAGGCUGGAGUGCAAUGGCAUGAUCUCGGCUCAUCACAACCUCUGCUUCCUGGGUUCAAGCGAUUCUCCUGCCUCAGCCUCCCGAGUACCUGGGACUACAGGCACUCGCCACCAUGCCCGGCUGAUUUUUGUAUUUUUAAUAGAGAUGGUUUCACUAUGUUGGCCAGGCUGGUCUCGAACUCCUGACCUUGUGAUCUGCCCACCUCAGCCUCGAAAAGUGCUGGGAUUACAGGCGUGAGCCACUGCGCCCAGCCUUGUAUUUUUUUUCAGUUUGGGUAGCUGUCCCUAAUUCAUUUGUUAAAGGAGAAGCAAGAGCAAGAACCUUUAAUCUGUUCUCCUCUUCCCUAAUUUGAAAGUAGCUUGUUAUUUUGAAUAUCACUUUCUCUGAAAUAGCACAUCUCCAUCUCAGAGAAUGGAUUUAAUGUUUGGAUACAGCCAAAAGUCAUUUCAUUACCAAACCAUGGGGUGAAUAUACCAUGUAAAGCAGUUUGGGAUCAGAACUCACAGUCUGAAUUGUAAGUGAUGAGACUGCUGUCUCUCUGCUACAGCUUCUUGGCUGGCUCUGAAGGCUCUUUGAAGGCAGAUCCUAACAAGGGGACUGCUUUGAAGGGCCAUUGUUCAUUUGGAAUGAUAAAGUCUAUGUUGUUCAAAAAACAAAUGCUUGUAGCAGGUAUUUUUUCACUCCAGACUGAGAAUAUUGGUGGGAUAUUGAUAAGGGGUACUGAAUGGUAAUAAACAUGUGCUCUAGCUCUGUGCUAGUCAGCUUAUUUCAGAACUCUAGUUUGAUUCAGUUUCUUGCCUCUGACUCAAAAUGGAGGGAGAGUGAUUUUUACAUAAGAGAACACACCCACAUAUCCUUUUGGCAGCAGCUACCUGCCAGAGAUGUUGAAGAAGAGUAGCCAACCUUUACACAGCAGAUAUUGUGUGCCAGUCAUAGUCCUAAGUAUAAUACCUUACAUGUAUAAACUUCUUAUAAGGUUGGUGCUCUGUACCGAAUUGAAUAGUAUCCCCCAAAAUUCAUGUUGUCCCAGAACCUAUGAAAGUGAUCUUACUUGAGGGAGGGGGGAGGGGGGAGGGAUAGCAUUAGGAGAUAUACCUAAUGCUAAAUGACGAGUUAAUGGGUGUAGCACACCAGCAUGGCACAUGUAUACAUAUGUAACUAACCUGCACAUUGUGCACAUGUACCCUAAAACUUAAAGUAUAAUAAUAAUAAAAUAAAAAAAAAAAAGAAAGUGAUCUUACUUGGAAAUAAGGUCUUUGCACAUAUGAUCAAGUUGAGAUGAAGUUGUACUGGAAAGUCUGUCUAGUGACUGGUGUUGUCAUAAGAAGAGAGGGACACAGAGGGAAGAUGGCCACAUGAAGAUGGAGGCAGAGAUUGCAGUUAUGCUGCUGCAAACUAAGGAAUGGCUCUGGCCCUCCAAGGAUUGCUGAUAACCACCAGAAACUAGAAGAGACAAGGAAGGAUUCUUCCCUAGAGCCUUCAGAGGGAGCAUGGCCCUACUGACACCUGGAUUUCAAACUUGUAGCUUCCUAAACUGCAAG